This is a long non-coding RNA of Mustela lutreola (European mink), 1203 nucleotides long. RefSeq lists it as uncharacterized. The transcript is spliced from 7 exons. Lineage: Eukaryota; Metazoa; Chordata; Mammalia; Carnivora; Mustelidae. The record is from RefSeq and is a predicted model, not a curated record.
UGCUGGCCGUCCGUCCCAGGUUCACCGACAUUGAGGGAGGCUGAGUCAGCACGUAGGCAGCCACAGAACCUGCAAGAGAGAAAAGGAGAGCCACUACAUCACUGUGUGACCAGACUGCUUGCAAGGACUGGGUGCCAUCUGACCAACCAUGCCAUGGAAUUGGGCAUACACAGCAACUGUCUAUCAUCAAAAAGGGGAGAUAGAUUUGAGAUCAGGCUUCAGCAGGUUCUGAAGGAACAGGUGAUCAUGACCAUCUGGACCAGGGUCAGUGAGCACAGGGCAGCUGGGUCAACACUGGAGGCCUUUCAGUAGCCUGGCCAUGAGGCUAAGCUGAACCCUUGCAGAGAUACAGACAACACCUGAUUCAUGGAAAGGCCUUUUUCUCUGUGGUGUUAGUAUUUAUGCAAAUUUCCUCCUCUCUGGGACUCCAACCACUUAUGAACUCAGACCAGGUGACUGAGGAGAAAGAAAGGAUCCCACAGCUUCUUCAGCAGCCCUCAGGUGUUGACCCAAAGAAGACACAGAGUCUUCUCUCAGAGCUUUCCAUCUUGGGGGUGAGGCCCAAUAAUAGACACACUGGUGUGCAGACCAGGUGGGAGACUAGACUUCUUUCUAUGUGUACAUUGUCACCUACAUAUAAUUGGAAUUCAGAAGCUUGUUUUUGUCAGGUCCCUGGCAGCCAGGCUUGACCAUGUGGCCCAGUGUGGACCAUGGAUGUAAGCUAAUGGGUGGAUAUUCUCAUGAAGCUUGCUGUCAUGAAGGAAGAAAGUAGAUGGGAUUCAUCAGCACCUUUCCUGAGGAACAUGGGGUAGGAGCUGGAGCUGAACCUUCCUGGGGGUGCAUCAUCAAUACGAAUGGAAGCAAAACCAACAUUGUGGGGUAAAGGGGAGGGAACACUGGCAAGACUGUGGGUGCUCAGGGGAUUGGUGAUCCCCUAAGAAAAACAACCUUCUUACCUCAGACUUCUUUUUGUGAGGAAAGUAGGCUCCACUCUUCAUGUCUCUGCUCUUCAUUAGUGUGUUCUUGCAGUGGACAAGCCUUCCUGGUGGAAUGGGGACCAAGGCAUCAGUGGUUCACCGAUAUUGAGGGUGGUUGAGUCAGCACAUAUGAGGCCAUGGAGCCUGCAAGAGAAGAGAUGAGAAGGAAGGUGAGUCAAGAGGAGCCCUGGGCAAACCUCGCUACAGACUGAGUGGGAACUGGAGC